AAUAAAGUAAAUGAAUGGAUAAUAUCUAAAGACUAAUCCCUUCGAUGCCAUAAAACCAUCGAAUUCACAACAGUCCUAUUUUAUGAUAUUUAUGCUACGCCAAGCUGUUUGGACGAACUCAUCAAAAUCAUUAGGUGCAAGAAUCAACAAAGCAAAUUGCUAUAUGGAUAUGUAAGUUACUAUCAAUUCUAUAUGCUUUCCUCUUUACUUUAGAUUGUUGUUAGAGAUUUUUGGAUUCAUGGAAGCCAAAUCUACAAAACAUAUAUGGUUUUAAUAAGUUUAUACUCUCUUUUUUUUUUAAAAAAAAAAAUAUGUUCUUCUCAGUCUAUAGUUCGCAACUAUAUAUGUGCAUUUAGUGACAGAUCUAGCUAAAGAUAAGGAAGGGAUUCAUUUAAUUAGAAAGAUGAUAAAAUAUUGUGAAUGGUGAUGCAUAAUAUGGAAGAUUAUUUGUAAUAAGGUUUGAAGUAAGUGUAAAUUAAAAAGUGAUAGGUCAUUCAAAUUUCAUAAACUAAUUAAUUAACUCACGGAGUUUAGCAUUAGGGGGUUACUUUGUAACUGCUAUGUUACCUCAAAAUCGAAGUGAGAUUAGUUUGUGAAAUAAGUCCAUACAUGAAGGAUGAACAAUGUAAAAGUUACCAUCCUCUAGUAUGUAAUAACAAAUCAAUGUAGCAAAAUGAUGGACACUAUUUAUAGGAGAAGAAAUGAUAGGAAAAUUACAAUUUUCCUUAGCAUGAUAAUGAAUAACCAAAUGAGUUAGAGCCAUAUAAUCUUUCUUUACUAACUAGAUACAAUUGUAACUUUAAUGUAGAAACUUGUUCUAGGAGUAUACAUAUAUAUAGUAAAGUAUCUAUACAAUUUAUACAAAGGCCAUGAUUGUUGUGUUCUUUAUAUCGUGUUAGAUGAGGAAAAAGUCAAUUUAAGUAAUCGUACAAAGAUAAUAUGCAAAGAUUUUAACAACAUAUGUGAUAUGUGCAUAUUGAACCAAUAUGGCUCCAAACAUGUGAUUCCAAGAAUUCAACCUUCUCCUCCACAAAGUGGAUAUCCUUUUAUAUUUAUUUGAAAAUAAAUACAUUUAUUUUUUCAACAACAAAUGCUCAUACGAUUCUCAAUGUUGUACUAAAAUUACGGCGACAUGUUUUCUAUCCGGAUAACUUUUUAUUGCAUUUUCAAGAGGUAUAUCAAUAUUGAGAAUAUAGUAUUAAACAUGACACAGUAACUACAAGUAUCUAACUAACUUAAUUAAUUUGAUUAUUUUUGCAAGUUCAAACAUUAUUUAAUCAUUUCAGAUUUAGGUAUUACGUUGACCAAAGAUAUACGUGGAAACACAUACAUAGAAACUAGUAUAUUUAAGUGUUUGAUAGUACUAAAAAGGAGAACAAAAAUUCUAUUGGUCUGUCAUUGCAGCUUAAAAGACAGGAUGUGACUCGUAACUGUGACGUCUCCUUUUCCAUCAAAAUCUUCAAUUUCCUUUUGAGAAAAUUUCAGAUCAUUUACAAACUUCAAAGUCAAAAUUUGAUUAAUCUCCAAUUCUCACAAAACCUCUGGAAUUUUCUCAGGUCAGUCCAUCAAACUCUACUCUCAAACGCGUAAUAAAGCAAACCUGUAUGUAUAUACAAUUAUUUGCAAAACUUCAGGAAAUUUUUUCAAGUUUCAUAUAUUCAUUGUGUAGAUCGGGUUUUUCAGUUGAUCUAAUGAACCCAUCGAUUUUUCUUUCAGGAGUUAAAUAAUUUUGAUUUUCUGAAGCUUUAACAAAAUUUAACAAUGUUUCCCCGACUCUUUGGAAAACCUAAACAAGAAACAAAUGCUCUAGCUACGCUAGACAAGUUAAACGAGGUAUGAUCUUGGUUUUGUUGGUUUUCUUCUUUAGAUUUUGUUUUAUUUUUAUUAUUUGUGGUUCUUUCAAUUUUCACUUUUAAGUUUGAUGAUGAUGAAAAUUCUUGUUAUUUGCUGGUUAUGGAAAGGGAGU
This 1966-nucleotide long non-coding RNA is filed under the name Nicotiana tabacum (common tobacco). Its description in RNAcentral is "long non-coding RNA (NTAB_LNC002825)". Lineage: Eukaryota; Viridiplantae; Streptophyta; Magnoliopsida; Solanales; Solanaceae. The record is from RNAcentral.